CUUGUGUGUGUCAGGCUCAGGACCCGAGUGAGGAGAGAGUGUCCGGACUCUGGAGGAAAGGGGAGGGUCGGCCACUGCACUGCCUGCACGGCUCUGUACUGCGCUGCCUGCUGAUCUCACUAAACAGGUUAUACAGUAGCUUACUACAGGGACGUGUGGUGAGCUAAAUGGCUCAGGAGGCACUGGCAGGCCCCAGAGACAGAUUUACAUGCAAUAUACGAGCCAAAGGGUACAUCUGGGCAUUAUACACAGGUGCAGCCGUAUAAACUCCUGGAAAUUUGGAGUUCAGUAUGGAAAGUAUCUGACAUUGAAAAUCCAGAACAUUAGACACUAUUUUCUGCUGGAACAAAGGAAGUUUACUGUACCAUGAAGGGUCAAGGAUUAUUAGAUCGAGGUAAACUCCUGUGGAGAUUCCAAGCAUGUUCAUAAAGAUGUCUUUCCUCAGCUCGCAUUUAGACUGCUUUCCUGAAAACUGUGGUGAUCUCAGUGAAGAGCAAGGAGAGCGGUUCAUCACGACAUUCGAGUGAUGGACGAGAGGUACCAGGUCCGCUGGGAUAGACUAUUUCUGGUACCUCAAGAGAAGUGUUCUAGGUGCAAAACACACGCACAAGUCUUUUUUUUCCCAGAAUAACUGCAUUUGUGUACCAUUUCAUAUAUACUGUACAAC
Long non-coding RNA from Pseudophryne corroboree (corroboree frog), 667 nucleotides. RefSeq lists it as uncharacterized. NCBI's taxonomy places the organism in Eukaryota, Metazoa, Chordata, Amphibia, Anura, Myobatrachidae. The transcript is spliced from 4 exons. The record is from RefSeq and is a predicted model, not a curated record.